GUGGACGUCGCCAAGUGGUAAGGCAAUGGGUUGUGACUCCAUUAUGCGCGGGUUCGAUCCCCGUCGUUCACC
Molecule: transfer RNA, 72 nt
Filed under: Pleurastrosarcina brevispinosa
Lineage: Eukaryota; Viridiplantae; Chlorophyta; Trebouxiophyceae
Description: Chlorosarcina brevispinosa tRNA-His
Rfam family: tRNA
About the family: Transfer RNA (tRNA) molecules are approximately 80 nucleotides in length. Their secondary structure includes four short double-helical elements and three loops (D, anti-codon, and T loops).
Source: RNAcentral